This 1167-nucleotide long non-coding RNA is filed under the name Homo sapiens (human). RNAcentral's name for it is "HSALNT0358967". The record is from RNAcentral. Lineage: Eukaryota; Metazoa; Chordata; Mammalia; Primates; Hominidae.
GUAGAGGUUCUUAGCUACGGAGAUGUCCCUGCCAAGACCUAAAAGCUGGGAGAGAAGGGACACCCAGAAUACUGAGAACUAAGCAGGCCUGGAACAAUGCCAAGGCAGGAUACAGGUUAUCCAUAGUGUGUAAAAUCUACAUGUUUUGGAGCAUAUUUUUAUUCUUAAAAAAUAGUGCUACAGAUUAUGGUGGAUAAUGCAGGUGCCCCACCACAUCCCCUAGCUGCCGUGAAUGUUGACUGCUGGAUAGUAUUCCAUCUACCUUGCUUCUUGCUUCUCUCAUUCUUCUUUUCUUAAGAGAAGCACUUCAACAAGAAUUCUUCUCAGGCUCUGCUUUUGGGGAAAGCAACCUAAGACACAGGUUCAUGAUGCUCUCUCUGGCCACCUUCCAGACAGGAAGAAAGAGCAGAGGAUCACUGUGAGAGGAAUUUGAGGAUCAAAUCCUGAAGUGGUACAUGUCACUACUGUUCAUAGUCUCUUUGCUGGAACUUGGUCCUAUGGCCCUACUGGCAGAGAGGAAGGCUAUGAAACCCAGUCUAGGCCUGCGCCUAGAAGAAGAAGAAGAAGAAACACCUUUUGAAGAACAGAGAGCAGUCUCUGUCAUACCAGGAGUACCUGUCACAUACUUGUAGAACAAAAAUCAGUAACAUUUUAAUUAUUGAAACAAUGUAACAACUUUAAACACAGUUUCAUAACUAGGAGUGAAUCACCCAUAAUCUCAUACCCGGAACAAAAUAUCUGUUAGUAUGAUGCACCUUUACAUAGCUGUAAUCUUAAAGGGCAUGUACUUCCUUCUUUGCUUUCCUUUUUUUUUUUCUUCAUCCUUUCCCUCUCUCCCUCUCUCCCUCUCUCCCUUUCUCCCUUCCUUCUUUCUUUUCUUCCUUUCUUUCUGAUUUUCUAACUUCCUUCUUUAAACAUUCCUUGAUCGUCUGUGGGUCUGGACAGCAACAUGGAGAUCAAUUAGGCGCAGCAUUUUAAAUUUGCCCUCAAGAAGUUCCACUAGUGUAAGAGUAGGCAAGUAACCAAUUAUUACAAUAGUGGGACAAGCGCUGUGAUAGAAAUAAAUACAGAGUACUGUGGCAGUCCUUACCCAGAAAAAGAUAUCUAGGGUAGAUGGUAUCUGAACUGAGAAUUAAAGAAUAAAUAGAAGAUAGCAUGGCAAAAAAA